RNAcentral lists this transfer RNA (76 nucleotides) under Treponema saccharophilum DSM 2985. Its description in RNAcentral is "tRNA-Pro". It matches the Rfam family "tRNA". From Rfam's summary of the family: Transfer RNA (tRNA) molecules are approximately 80 nucleotides in length. Lineage: Bacteria; Pseudomonadati; Spirochaetota; Spirochaetia; Treponematales; Treponemataceae. The record is from RNAcentral.
CGGGAUGUAGCGCAGUUGGUAGCGCGCUUGGUUUGGGACCAAGAUGUCGCAGGUUCGAAUCCUGUCAUCCCGACAA